RNAcentral lists this ribosomal RNA (468 nucleotides) under uncultured bacterium. RNAcentral's name for it is "partial 16S ribosomal RNA". It matches the Rfam family "Bacterial small subunit ribosomal RNA", at positions 28 to 507 of the family's 1533-position model. The record is from RNAcentral.
GACGAACGCUGGCGGCGUGCUUAACACAUGCAAGUCGAACGGAAAGGCCCUGCUUUUGUGGGGUGCUCGAGUGGCGAACGGGUGAGUAACACGUGAGUAACCUGCCCUUGACUUUGGGAUAACUUCAGGAAACUGGGGCUAAUACCGGAUAGGAGCUCCUGCUGCAUGGUGGGGGUUGGAAAGUUUCGGCGGUUGGGGAUGGACUCGCGGCUUAUCAGCUUGUUGGUGGGGGAGUGGCUUACCAAGGCUUUGACGGGUAGCCGGCCUGAGAGGGUGACCGGCCACAUUGGGACUGAGAGACGGCCCAGACUGCUACGGUAGGCAGCAGUGGGGAAUAUUGCACAAUGGGCGGAAGCCUGAUGCAGCAACGCCGCGUGCGGGAUGACGGCCUUCGGGUUGUAAACCGCUUUCGCCUGUGACGAAGCGUGAGUGACGGUAAUGGGUAAAGAAGCACCGGCUAACUACGUG